Molecule: transfer RNA, 112 nt
Filed under: Halolamina pelagica
Lineage: Archaea; Methanobacteriati; Methanobacteriota; Halobacteria; Halobacteriales; Haloferacaceae
Rfam family: tRNA
About the family: Transfer RNA (tRNA) molecules are approximately 80 nucleotides in length. Their secondary structure includes four short double-helical elements and three loops (D, anti-codon, and T loops).
Source: Rfam by way of RNAcentral
GGGCCCUUAGCUUAGUCUGGUCUCAGAGCACCCGGCUCAUAUCAGCAAGCCGACACACGUGUCGGCACUGUGGGACACCGGGCGAUCGGUGGUUCAAAUCCGCCAGGGCCCA